RNAcentral lists this transfer RNA (72 nucleotides) under Camelus bactrianus (Bactrian camel). It matches the Rfam family "tRNA". Rfam says of the family: Transfer RNA (tRNA) molecules are approximately 80 nucleotides in length. The record is from Rfam by way of RNAcentral. RNAcentral also lists the same sequence under 2 other names. Lineage: Eukaryota; Metazoa; Chordata; Mammalia; Artiodactyla; Camelidae.
GAGGGUGGAGCUCAUUGGUAACGCACAUGCUUAGCAUGCAUGAGGUCCUGGGUUCAAUCCCCAAUACCUCCA